This 16-nucleotide small RNA is filed under the name Arabidopsis thaliana (thale cress). RNAcentral's name for it is "ATSL122040". Lineage: Eukaryota; Viridiplantae; Streptophyta; Magnoliopsida; Brassicales; Brassicaceae. The record is from RNAcentral.
UUUUUUUUACUUUUUU